This 253-nucleotide unclassified non-coding RNA is filed under the name uncultured Nannocystaceae bacterium. RNAcentral's name for it is "contains 16S-23S intergenic spacer region". It matches the Rfam family "Bacterial small subunit ribosomal RNA", at positions 524 to 776 of the family's 1533-position model. The record is from RNAcentral. Lineage: Bacteria; Pseudomonadati; Myxococcota; Nannocystales; Nannocystaceae.
UACGGAGCGUGCAAACGGUGCUCGGAAUCAUUGGGCGUAAAGCGCACGUAGGCGGCCUGACAAGUUGGAUGUGAAAGCCCUGGGCUCAACCCAGGAAGUGCAUCCAAAACUGUUAGGCUUGAGCACCGGAGGGGCUCAGAGAAUUCCCGGUGUAGCGGUGAAAUGCGUAGAUAUCGGGAGGAAUACCAGUGGCGAAGGCGCUGAGCUGGACGGUUACUGACGCUGAGGUGCGAAAGCGUGGGGAGCAAACAGG